AUGCUUGCUUUGGCAGCACAUGUACUACAACUGAAAUGAUCUGAAGAAGAUUAGCAUGGCCCCUGCUCCAGGAUGACAUGCAAAUUCAUGAAGCAUUCCAUGUUUGA
This is a small nuclear RNA of Capra hircus (goat), 107 nucleotides long. The record is from Ensembl. NCBI's taxonomy places the organism in Eukaryota, Metazoa, Chordata, Mammalia, Artiodactyla, Bovidae.